This is a long non-coding RNA of Alnus glutinosa, 638 nucleotides long. RefSeq lists it as uncharacterized. The transcript is spliced from 5 exons. NCBI's taxonomy places the organism in Eukaryota, Viridiplantae, Streptophyta, Magnoliopsida, Fagales, Betulaceae. The record is from RefSeq and is a predicted model, not a curated record.
AUUUCUUUCACAAUGCCUUUAUUUCUACUGUUCUGGUUUGGUUAUUUUUGUGUAGACUAUGCUAGUUGCUACCCAACAGACCAGUAUGUAAGCUUCAAUGCCCACUUCAAGGUUUCCCAUGGAGGUGUCCAAAUGAGCUUCAACACAACGUUCAGCAGACAGAAUAUCAAGAAUACGAGUAAGAGCUUCAUCCAAGUGAGUAAGCGCAGGAAGCGCUAGUCUGUGAGCAGCUCCGUUUGCCUCCCUUCUAACAUGAUUCGCUUGCCAAACUUGCAAACUGUUCAGGAAUGUGUAUAUGCUCUCUGCUUCCAAUUCAGAAUCAAUGGCCAGCAAUUUAUAAAUAACCUGAUACAGCCCAUUGGAGGAAACAUUUUGAAUUAGUAUGUAAUGGGGACACAGAUAAAAACAACCUCUUGGAUUCGAUGUACAGACAAAAACAGUGGGAUAGGAUAAAGAUGAUGGUUGCAGACAGAGACUCCAUCAUAAAACCCAAGUGCAAGAUGAGGAUCACUUGAUGAGCCGCCUAAUACAGACAAAUAAUGAUGUAUUGUCAAGUUAAAUCACAGGAAAGUAAAAGGACAGCAAUGAUAGGUAAUCAUACCAAAGCCCAUUUCAUCUCCAUCUUUGUGUGACGAUUG